RNAcentral lists this ribosomal RNA (170 nucleotides) under Staphylococcus aureus. Its description in RNAcentral is "partial 16S ribosomal RNA". It matches the Rfam family "Bacterial small subunit ribosomal RNA", at positions 1372 to 1533 of the family's 1533-position model. Lineage: Bacteria; Bacillati; Bacillota; Bacilli; Caryophanales; Staphylococcaceae. The record is from RNAcentral.
UCCCGGGUCUUGUACACACCGCCCGUCACACCACGAGAGUUUGUAACACCCGAAGCCGGUGGAGUAACCUUUUAGGAGCUAGCCGUCGAAGGUGGGACAAAUGAUUGGGGUGAAGUCGUAACAAGGUAGCCGUAUCGGAAGGUGCGGCUGGAUCACCUCCUUUCUAAGGA